ACUUAUACGAUGUGGGGUCCAACCAACUCAUUUUUGGAUUAAAACAUAUCGAGUGAUCAACAAGGUUUAACUCCUAGAAUUUUUGAGCGUCUUUUUGCUUGGAUAAAUGAGAUUUACAACGAGCAAAUUACAGAUUUAUUGGAUCCUAAUCAAAGAAAUUUCCAGGUUGAGAAAUGGAUCCAGAAAGUGGAACGUGAAAUGUAGAAAGAAGAAGGUUUUGAAUCUUAAAAGAAAAUUUGAUUGCAACAUGAGUUAAAAGGAAGGUAGACAGAGAGAGAAGAUGCCUGUCCAGCAUUGUACAAGAUUUUGGUAAGCUUCCUUUAUGCUAUGACAAAUGCAUGUUCUCUAGUUGGUGGUAGCGAGAUAUUUAUGAUGGCCGUUGGUGGAUAAUGUCAGGUAAACACGGUUCGUCUCUUAUUCCUUAUUGCAUCUUAUAGAGUUU
Long non-coding RNA from Morus notabilis, 442 nucleotides. RefSeq lists it as uncharacterized. Lineage: Eukaryota; Viridiplantae; Streptophyta; Magnoliopsida; Rosales; Moraceae. The record is from RefSeq and is a predicted model, not a curated record. The transcript is spliced from 4 exons.